Molecule: long non-coding RNA, 30387 nt
Filed under: Citrus maxima (pomelo)
Lineage: Eukaryota; Viridiplantae; Streptophyta; Magnoliopsida; Sapindales; Rutaceae
Description: long non-coding RNA (CMAX_LNC004224)
Source: RNAcentral
AACUGUCUGCCUCUGCAUUUCCCUAAUCUCUAGAGUUCUCUGAAAUCUCUUCUUCAUUUUCUGUCUCCCUUUUCUGAAUCGUUCUUGUCCUCGAUCCUACACCUUCUUUGCAAAUCUUUCAUUUAUUGUACUCGCUUUUCAAUUUUUCUUAGCAGAAAAAGGAUCCCCCUUUGUUUCAUCUCUAGAUUUUUCACUCUUUUCCUCGCCUCCUCCCUUAAAUCUAUUCAACUUCUUAUUUUAGCAAUUUAUCCAAACUUCUUAUUUCCCUCUUCCCAGUUGAUUGAUUAGUUCUGCUUAGUUUGAUUAGUUUUGCUUUCCCCUGUCUUUUGAAAGAAAAAAGAAAAAAAGAAAAAAAAGAAAGGGAUAAUGGAAAUUGUUAUCUCCGUUGCGGCAAAAGUUGCAGAGCACUUGGUUGCUCCCAUAAUUUAUCCAUUUACUUACUGCUGCACUUACAAGACCAACUUCGAGAAGCUGAAUAAUGAAGUUAAUAAGCUCAAGAAUGCUAGAGACAGUGUGCAGUAUAAGGUUGAUGAUUCCAGAAUUAAAGGGGACGGAAUCCAACAGCACGUUGAGGAAUGGCUGAUUGCUGCGAACAAGGAGAUCAAUGAAGUCGAAAUACUUAUUGAAGACAAAGAGAAUUCAAACAACCGGUGUUUGAAGGGGUUAUGUCCUAAUUUGAGGACUCGGUACCAGCUUAGCAAGAAAGCAGAAAGAGAGGCGAAUGCUAUUGUUGGACUCCAUGAAAAAGGGAGAUUCGACAGUGUUUCUUUCCGUAUCAUUCCAGAGGAGACAUGGCUUAAGUCUACCCAGGAUUUCAUGCACUUUGAAUCGAGAAAGUCCACCUUGAAGGAGAUACUAGACGCACUCAGCAACCGUAACUUCAACAUGAUUGGGGUGUACGGGAUGGGCGGCAUUGGAAAGACAACGCUGGUGAAAGAAGUUGGCAGACAGGCCAAGGAAAAUAAUCUCUUUGAGAAGGUCAUUUCUUCACGUGUUUCCCAAACACCACAAAUAAAAGAAAUACAAAGAGAAAUUGCAGAGAAGCUGGGCCUGAAAAUAGAUGAAGAGAGUGAAACUGUAAGAGCAUGGAGGCUGCUCGAACAAUUGAAGAAAGAGACGAAGAUCCUCAUAAUCUUGGAUGAUACUUGGGGGAGUCUCGAUUUGGAGGCGAUUGGAAUUCCAUUGGCAGAUGAUAACGGCGGAUGUAAAGUUCUGCUGACAGCAAGAAGUCAAGAUGUGUUGUCUUGUAAAAUGGAUUGUCAACAAAAUUUUUUUGUUGAUGUUCUGAAUGAAAAAGAAGCUUGGAGUCUUUUCAAGAAGAUGACAGGUGAUUGCAUGGAAAAUGGUGAACUGCAAUCUGUAGCGACAGAGGUAGUCAAGGAAUGUGCUGGUUUGCCCAUUGCCAUCGUGCCCGUAGCGAAGGCAUUGAAAAAUAAGAGUCUCUAUGAAUGGAGGAAUGCUUUACUUCAAUUAAAAAGGCCUUGUUUGAGAAGUUUCUCUGGGACACAAGCGGUGGCCGCCUAUUCAACUAUAGAGUUGAGUUACUAUCAGUUAGAAGGUGAGGAACUCAGGCAAACCUUUUUGCUAAUAGGGUACACGUUCAUCUCUUGUGUUGAAGACGUGAUCUGUUAUGGCAUGGGUUUGGGUCUGUUUCAAAACAUCAACACGUUGGAAGAGGCACGGGAUAGAGCACAUACAUUGAUUGAUAAACUCAAGAACUCUUGUUUGUUGCUUGAUGGCGAUACUAGUGAAUGGUUUUCAAUGCAUGAUGUUGUUCGUGAUGUAGCCAUAUCUAUUGCAUCUAGAGUCCAACAUGUGUUUGCGGUGGAAAAUGAGACCAGCUGGCCAGAUAAGGAUACACUGAAGGUUUGCACCGCAAUCUCCUUAUUUAAUACUAAUAUUAGUGAGCUUCCUCAAGGGUUCGAGUGUCCGCAACUUAAAUACUUUCGUAUUAGCAACGAUCCUUCUUUGAGAGUCCCAGAUAACAUUUUUACUGAGAUGACAGAGCUUAGAGUUUUAGAUUUCACUGAGAUGCAUUUGUUGGCAUUGCCUUCAUCGCUUGGUCUCUUACAAAACCUUCAAACAUUGUCUCUGGAUUUUUGUAUACUAGGAGACAUAGCUAUUAUUGGAGACCUGAAGAAAUUAGAAAUACUUACACUUCGAGGUUCUGAUAUGGAGAAACUAGUUGAAGAAAUGGGCGAGCUGACUCAAUUGAGGUUAUUGGAUCUGAGUUACUGUUUCAAUCUACAAGUUAUUCCACCAAAUGUCAUAUCAAGCUUAUCACGAUUAGAAGAAUUGUAUAUCGGUCAGAGUCCCAUUAUGUGGGGGAAGGUUGGAGGAGUCGACGGUGAAAGAAGAAAUGCCAGCCUUGACGAGUUGAAUAAUUUAUCUAAAUUGACCUCUUUAGAAAUACUCAUCCAAGAUGAAAAGACUCUACCAAGAGACUUGUCGUUCUUCAAAAUGCUGCAAAGGUACAGAAUAUCGAUAGGAGAUCAGCGGUGGUGGGAUGGCCCAUGGGAUGGGAUUUCUAGAAAAUUCAAACUGAAGCUCACCAAUGGUGCCAACAUUUGCUUGAACGAGGGGCAUAUCAUGCAAUUGAAGGGUAUUGAAGACCUAACUUUAGAUGGAUUGCCGGACAUGAAGAAUGUUCUUUGUGAACCAGGCAGAGAAGUCUUUCCAAAACUGAAUCGUCUCCAAAUCGAACAUAAUGGCAACCUUGUUCGUCUUGUUGACACAAUGGAUUGUACGCCAGCUCCGACGAUUGCAUUCCCCCUUUUGGAGUCAUUAUUUCUGAGAGAUUUAAGGAACCUUGAGGAAAUAUGUCGUGGUCCACUCACAGCAGAGUCUUUUAGCAAAUUAAAGACCAUAAGGGUGGAAGGGUGUGAUAAAUUGAAAAAUGUAUUUCCAUUGGUCAUUGAACUCACUCAAUUAAGGACACUUGAGCUUCGUUCUCUUCCGCAGCUUACAAGCUUCUGCACAGGUGAUCUGCAUAUUGAAAAGGUACGCGUGCAAGAUUUUUGUAGUUAUUUUUCAAUUCUUACGUACUGAAAAGUAUUUCUACUUUGAGAGUUCAGAGUUUUAUUGUCUUCCUCGCCCUCAUCACUUUAUCUUUUAGUGACAAAAUUUUAGUUAUAUAAAUCAGUUUAUUUAUAUUUUAUAAUAUCCCUUGGGUUGGAUGAAUAUUAAUGUAAUACCAGCUUCUUACUAUAUUAUUAAGUUUUUUAAAUUCGUGCAAAUUUUCCUUCUUUUCAUAUGUGCUAGCAAUUCAAGCUGUUUAUUCAUUUUUGCUUUUGUUAAAAAAAAAAAGUUAAAAUAUCCAAUUUUAAAAAAAAUAAAUUUGUAUGAUUUUCAAUUCAAACCAAAUAAACCGAUCGAUUAAAAGAAUCUGGAAGUUUAAAUGUAAAUUAAGAAUAAUUGAGAACAAUAUAUAUGUAUGUAUGUAUGUAUGCAUCUAUCUAUCUAUCUAUCUAUCCAUGCAUGUAUUGUCUGGCCAUCAAUAUUAUUCAUCAUUAGAAUGCUUUGCAUUUACUUUAAUAUGUGAGGUUUUUAGAAAGAAGAUCAACUCCACCCUGUGUUUUUCUGUGACCAUCAAUACGCAUCAUUGGAAUGCUUUGUUUUUACUUUAAUUUGUGAAAUCGUUAGAAAGAAGUGCUAACUGCAUCUUGCCACUUUUGUGAUUGAUGAUCACCCAGGUGUUCCCCAAUUUGGAGAAAUUGAGGGUUGAUGAAAAGCACAUAGGUCUAUUUCCAGAAGACUUGCUUUGCAAACUUAAAUGUCUUCAUGUCCGGCUUGAUGAGUCAGCUGCUAUUGUAUCACUUGACGAUUUCCUCCACAGAUUUCAAGCCAUCAAAGUUCUUGUUAUAAAAGAAAACGAUGACGAUGAUCCAUCUGACGAGUUUGAAAAUGGAAUGAAGGUAGUGAUAACAGGAAUAAAUCAGCGUCGUGAUCUGAAGCAGAUUUUGAAAGGAGAGUCCUCCAAUACCAAUAAUAACACUCAAGCAGAUCUGAAGCAGAUUUUUACAAGCUUCUGCACAGGAGAUCUGCAUUUUGAAAAGGUACGUGCAAGAUUUUUGUAAUUAUUGUUCAAUUCUUAGGUACUUAAAAGCAUUUCUACUUUGAGAGUUUAGAGUUUUCUUUUCGUCAUUGCCCUCAUCACUUUGUCUUUUAGUAAGAAAAUGUUAGUUCUAUAAAUCACUUUAUUUAUACUUUAUAAUAUCCUUAUAAACAUAAUUAUCACUCUUCAAUAAAUCUUCUCAUUAUUGAAUAUUGAAUUCAAUAAAUCUUCAAUAAACAUAAUUAUCACUCUUCAAUAAUGUUAGUUCAAUUUUUUUUCUCUUAAUUAUCAGAGUUUUUCUUCUUCCUCUACUUUUUAUUUUAUGUCUAUAUGUUUAGUUAAAUACACGGAAGAGACAGUGCAUUUGAUUAGCCAAACAAAGAAAAUACUCAUAAGAUUUAGAGUUUUUCAAGCCAUAGUUAAUUCCCUGAAAAUCGUUCAAGAGCUAUUUCCAAAUUAGUACUCCUUAGUACAGUAUUGUUACAUACAAAAUGAUUAUCAAUUUUGAUGUUGAAGUAGAAAUUGGUCAUCUUGUGCUAACAUAAAUAAUAUUUUUGAAAUAUAUAUAGAAAGAUGGACAAAACUCAAAUUAAGAAAUCUUAUUCUAUUAAACUUUAUGUACAAUAAAAUCCAUUCUUGCACAAUAAUAAAUAUAUCUAAUUCCAUUGAGUUGGAUGAAUAUUAAUGAAAUACCAGCUUCUUACUAUAUUAUUAAACUUUUAAAAUUCAUAUUAUUUAUUCAUUUUUGCUUUAAGAAAAAGUUAAAAACUCCAAUAUUUUUUUAAAAAAGAAAUUUGUAAGAUUUUCAAUUCAAACCAAAUAAACGGAUCAAUUAAAAGAAUCUCAAAGUUUAAAUGCAAUUUGAGAAUAAUUGAAGUCUUUUUCAUAGAGAUUAUGCACAAAUCUAAUAAACUUUGAAAAUCUAUCUACUGGACAAGAGUUAAGAAGAGAGAAUGGAAGAAAAUACACAUUACUUAAAUGGAAUGCUUUGUAUUUACUUUGUCUUUACAGCUGAAAAUCAUACUCUCUCCGCAUAUGCAUAUAUUUGUCCGGCCAUCAAUAUGCAUCAUUGGAAUGCUUUGUAUUUACUUUAAUUUGUGAAAUCGUAAGAAAGAAGUGUUAACUCCAUCUUGCUUUUUUCGUGAUUGAUGAUCACCCAGGUGUUCCCCAAUUUGGAGAAAUUGAGUGUUGAUGAAAAGCACAUAGGCCUAUUUCCAGAAGACUGGCUUUGCAAACUUAAAUGUCUUGAUGUCUGGCUUGAUGAGUCAAGUACUAUUUUAUCACUUGACGAUUUCCUCCAGAGAUUUCACACCAUCAAAAUUCUCUCUAUAGGAGGGAACAAUGAGGCAGAUUUGGAUACAUCAUUUGAAAACCUUGAAAAUGGGAUGGAAGCAAUGAUGAGGGGAAUAAACCAGCGUCGUGAACUGAAGCAGAUUUUCAAACAAGAGUCAACCAAUACCAACAAUUUGGAACAGCUGAAGAUACUUUUUUGUGACAAUUUGACUAAUCUAGUGCCAUCCUCGACAUCGUUUCAGAACCUAACAACUUUGAUUGUAUGUCUUUGCCACGGAAUGAUACACGUACUAACAUCCUCAACAGCAAGGAGUCUGGUGCGACUGAGACGAAUGCACAUAGUUUGCUGCGAGAUGAUAACAGAAAUAGUGGCAGAUGAGGAUGAUGAGGGAGAUAAUUAUGCAGCAAAAGAUGAAAUUGUUUUCAGCGAUUUAAAGGAAUUGAUUCUUUUGGACUUAGAAAGUCUGACUAGUUUCAGCUGCUCUGGGAAUAAUUGCGACUUCAAAUUCCCAUCUCUGGAAACAUUAGUGGUGGAAGAUUGCCCCAAUAUGAAGAUUUUCUCAGAAGGGGAAUUAAGCACACCCAAGUUACACGAAGUGCAGAUGAGCCUAGUCGAUAAGAAACUUGGGGCUUGGGAUCGGGACCUUAAUACAACCAUUCAAUACGUAUAUCUUAAAAGAAAAAAGGUAAGUAUUCAUUCACUAUGAGAUGUUGAUUUUUUUUUCUUCUAAAAAUUACUGAUUUAAUAACAGAUAUAUAUAAAAAAGUAAAAAGAAAAAAAUACAUAUUAAUUUUUUUAUAAAUUCAUUUUAAAUCUGAUUAGGAAGGGGAGGAAAAAGAGAAUGAGAAGUCCGCCGAGGCGAAUGAAAAGGAAAAAGAUGCGAAAAACAGUGGUAAGAUAAACGGGAGGUUUUGAUUUGAUUCUAUUUUACUGACUAAAAAUGUUUUAUUUAUGUUGAAUUGUUUGUUAAAUCAUAUUGGUACAUCUUUUUUAAAUAUAACUACUCUGCUCUGUUGUUAUGUUGAGGAUUAGUUGUUAUACAGACAUAGCGAAAAAUAAACGAAUAAAAAAUGAAAUUAAUUGCUUACAGAGAGAAUUGAAGGAUUUUUGUGUCCUUAAUCGAGGUUAAUUUGUGCAAUUUAAUUAUGUGAAAACUACACCUUCAAUGUGUUUUUACUCUUUGUCUACAGAGUCUCCAAACUUAUGAAGACGAUUCAUGCUACUUGUGCAGCAUUUUGGAUAAGGCUCGAGCUCGAGUUCUUUCUAUAUAUUAAGAGUCAUAUGGUGUUGGUGAGAGGAUUUUUUUGUUUCAGUUUUCAUUCAUUAUCUUUCUUUUAGCUUUGUUUGAGUACUCAGAAAUCCAAUUUGAGGCUAGUUUUAUUUCUUAUGGAUGGUGUCCAAGAUCUGCCAUAUUCAAUUUGUAGUCAUCUUAAAAUCUCUUUAAGUCCUAAAUUAAUUAAAGAGAUGUGUGCAUCAUAUUUGUGUUCGUGCACCUAUUGGUAUUUUUUGGAGACAAUUAUAUAAGAAAUUAUGUAAUUUCAUGAAAAUAUCAAGAUUUUAUAUAGAAAAUUAUGGAAAAAUAAAAGUUUACUGGUCAAUUGCUCACUGUAGACAACAUGUGGAUCCUCCCUGGUUAAUGAUCCCAAGUUCCUCCAUUUACAUUAUUAUUAAUUAUUUUUGUUGGUGAAAGCUAAUUGAUUAGAAGAAUGCGACAAUAAGAAGGUUAAAUACUUAGCUUAUAAUCAGAUACAUAAAAUCAUCAUCAUCACAAGAUUAUCACAGGUGUAAUAUCAAACUAACUAUUGAAAACCUUUGAAUGGUCUUCCAAUUUUGAAAAUGCCGGCAGCCCUUGCAACUUCCAGGAAACUUCGAUUAUCUACCAAGCAUAUCAACUGUUCGAUGAAAUGCCCAUGUAGCUGUUCCAACUUAUUCCCCUAGAAUUGGCCUGGGGGGCAGCUGCGCGGUGGCAGCGCAGCUGCCCCAAACAGGUCCUUGGAGACAUGAGUUUCAUUAAAGUAGCAUCAUCUCACUGAUAUAAUGUAUUAAUGUAAUAAAUGAGCUUUCUUAAAGAUGAUUCAGGCCAACCUUCUGUGCAGCAUCAGGAAUGAGGCCAAUUUUCUUUGAAAUUUGUGAGACAUGGUAUGCAGCUCGUGUUUUUUCUAUCAAGUUAAAAGACUGUAAGAGGGUCUUCAUUUUUUAUUGUCAUUGUUCUACAUUUUGGCUUUCCUUGAUUACUCAAACCCAGUUUCAGAGAGUUAUAAUACAACACUUUAAAGAUGUGUGAAUCAGACUUGUCUAGUGUGCACGUGAGCCAUGUGUUAGAUUGCUGGUGUAGUAGUAAAAGUUGACAUUCAGCACAUGUUCAUUGUAGUAGACAUUCAGCACAUGUUCAUGUACAGAAAUUGGAGUUUUAGGCCAUCAGACAAACAAAUUGUGAAACAAGUGGGUAGAGGGAAUAAUAAAAAUCGAAAGACAUGGAUAGGAGAUCAUUGAUAGAAUCUAAAUACAAAUUCAAUCAAUUCAUUAAGCCAUCAAAAGUUAGUUACAAACCACUCUAUCUUAACAUAUGUAAUUUACCAUCAUCUAAAACUGCUAUAUCCUAACAUAUGUAAUGUACCAUUAUCAAUUUCUGCUAUGUUAUGUUUGUAUAGCCUAAUAUGUUUGGCUUGGUCUUGUCUAAUAUAUCCUGCUAUGUUAUGUUUUUUCUAUCAAGUAAAAUAUUCGCCCUCCAAAAUUUCAAAUACUCCUCUUACAUUAUUUAAAAAAAGGCGUGUUUGGGAUUGCGGUUGAUUCUUGAAUAGGAAUCUAUACUCUCUAGUUGUGCUCGAAUUAUCAAAUAACUUUUAUUAAAUAUAGACGAUUUAAGUUGUUCGGUGCUACACUGACAAGUAAUCACAUAAGUAAUAAUAGCAAACAUAAUUUGGAAAUAGAUUUUCAAACGAGUAAUCAUUUGAGAAUCCAUCACAAUUACAGACAUGAACGAAAUCAGAUUUAAAAAAUAAAAAAAAUAUAAAUAAAUUAAAAAACAUAAACUAAUCAUAAAUUUUUAAUUAAUUAAUUAACUGAAAAUAGUUUAUAAAUAGUGGCAGUGAAAGACUCAUAUAAUUCAGGUAUACACAUAUACCUCGAUUUGGGUGAAAAGGGCAUGAAGGCCGCGAGAUUUGAAGAAGAAAUCAACGGCGUCGUUUUGACCAGAGACAUUGUUCUGAUCAGCCGCGCUGGUGGGCCGGAGAUGGGCCCCACCUACGGCUUGUUUCCCUCCCCUCACAUCACUCCCAGACAGACAUAAUCCCAUCUCUUUUCUCUCUCUCUCUCUCUCUCUCUCUCUCUCUCUAUUCUCGAAAAUUAAAAAAUUAAUCCAAAAAAAUUUACCCAAAAGUUUUUGCAACUUUGCGUCACAGAGUACGGAGUCUUACUGUUCGAUUGAUGUUCUUUAAUCUCUCAAAUCCGUAGCCUCUGAAAGAGAACUGGAACGGGGCUUUAUUUUUGCUCUCCUCUAUUUAUAAGCUUUUGCGCUAGCUUGAGUCGUUGUAUUUGAAUUUGACUCUGAUUCUCCGGCGAAAAUGUAAAGAAAUUUCUACUUAUUAAUUUAAUUGCUUUUUCAUAAGGAAAAAAAAGAAAAAAAGAUUAAUGUAGAAUAAUGUAGAUGAUCUAAAAGAUUUUGUCUUUUUUUUUUUCCUCUCCUCAAAAUAUAGAAUAAUGUAGAUGAUCGAUUGUUUUAAUGUAUUGGGAACGUUUAGGUCCACCUAAUUAUUAAUAAUAGAUAAUUAUAUCAAAAUUUACCAACUGAUAAAUUUCAAAAUUUAUCAAAAUUUUCCAUUGUAUGCAUGAAGACAAAUACUAGAAUUUAGAGUAAAGAAUCGGUAAAUUUGUAAAGAAAUAUGAAGAAACAGCAAGGUUUUGAAGAAUUCAAUUUAUCACUAUAUUUGGACAUUUGGACGUCAUUAAUGUUUUUGAUUAAUAAAUAUUUCGUCUUCCCCAAGGUUUUUGAUUAAAAGAAUGACUUGAUAUGGCUGAUGUUGAUAAAUUAGAAAGGGAAAAUAAUAAACAAUGGAGGAAUUUUCAAAUUAGGUCAACAAUCUUAGUCUAUUUAAUUUCGUAAUAAUGGCAAUGAGCUUCUUGACGAAGCCCUUAUAACAUAAGCAUACAAACGUAAUCAAGAUGUCUGUGGAAAGCAAGUAACAUUUAACAAUUCCAGUGGGGUGGAAUAAAAUGGCAUUCACAAUCAACUACUAAGGUACUGAAGGUUCAAUCGUUUAAGGGUAUUGAUAGUUUCAAUAAAAUGACAAACUCCUCUACAUAAUCAAUAGUAAUUGAUCAUGUACGUGUACAUUUAAGUUGGAAAAAGAAGAAGAAGAAGAUAAUUAUAGUAUAAUAAAAUCAGAAUGCGUAUGUCAUAACUAAUUUCACUAAAUGGUUAUAAUACGUUUUAUGUACUUGAGAUUUUCUCAUAAUGGGAAAAGAAAAAGGCUCAUCCGCGUACAUGAAUAAGAUUACUUGCCACGAUUACCAAUUUUUCAUCACUUUAUUAAUUCUUUUUCUUCCUGUACAUGAAUCUUGUUAAAUUCAACUUUCUAUUUUACUUUUUUUUUUUUUUAAAUUAUUUUCUAUAUCAUACUUUGAAUCUUGUUGAAGGAAUCUUUGCAUUCUUUUGUCCGCAUGUGCAACACAAAUAAUAUUUUACGUUACACUUGAUAUUCAUUCAUAUAAAUUAAUCAAGGAUAAUAUAUAUAUUGCCAAAUUGAUUAAAAUAAUUAUUAAUUUAAAAUUAAUAAUUUCUUUAUCCAUAACACUGAUAAUAAAGUCCGAUUAUAUAUAGGCAUGCACACUUUUCCAUGGGGGAUUGAGAAUAAAAUUUUAUAGUGGGUAAUUAGUUGCAACCGUGUUGGUAGAUGCACCUACCUAAUAUUAAUUAAUGAUUGAAAAAAAAAACAUUUAGUUCAUAGUUAAAAUUUUAUAGUGAGUAAUUAUGUUUCUUUGUUGAUUGUGCUCAUGAAGUGGAUAGAAAUAGCUAUAUACAAUAAAAUAUUUCUCCUAUGUAGUCAUAAGGAUAUACUCUAAAUUAUAAUAAGUUAUAAUUUUUUUAAGUCUUGUCUAAAAAGAAUUUGUCCCCGCAUAAUAAUAUUAUUCGGCUAUUGCAAAAAAGUAUAGACUUUUUUUUUUUUAAUUAAUCCUACCUUUAAUAUCAAUUUCUGACAUAACCCAGUAAUUAAUUAUUAAUAUAGUAAAUAUUUUACCUCUAAUUUAAAUGCACAAAGGAUAACUAAGUGAAAACGAUAAUUUAUGUAACUAUAUCUUUACUAAGUUAAUUAUAACAUUCUCAUAUUAAUAAAAUUAACUUACCUCAAUAUUAUGAUUAUAGAGAAAUUGGACUAUAUUUGAGAAUUUUGAAAAUGAUGGUCAUGACUUAUGUGCUCGAUUUGUGAUUUUACGUUGAAGUUGGUAGAACUAAACCAUCAAAACGUUUAAAGCAUAUUGUCGUUAGUCUUUGUUUCUGGGUAGACAAAAGUGUCAAAUACUAUGUUGAUCAAUAAGAACAUUAUUGAAUCUUUUUUUUUCCUUUUUUCUUUUUUAAAUGACAAAUGAGAGAUGAAUUCAAAUUAAUUAGGAAUUUUUAUCCAUUAUUAGAGUUGUGCUAGUAUUUUUUUUUCAACUACUAAUUACAACAACCUUAAGUAAAACCAACAUAUAUUAUAUAGCUCAUCAUGUGAGCACGGAAUCCGACAUUCCUUUGAGACUUAUAUAUCUCUCAAAUUAAAAUACCGCAAACACGAAUAUUAAACAAAGUAAUAAUCAAAAUAACACAUUUCCUUGCAACGACUCAUUAUGAUUCCAAGUGAAAUGGUUCGUUCGACCAAAAAAUGCCGGAAAAAAUGUAAUUCAAGUUGGCUUCCUCUUUCAUAUUCAGUUCAGAACUUUAGAUUUGGUGUAAAUGAAGGGAAAAUGCCUACGAAUAUGUUCUCAGCUUGCCCGUCGUCUUGGCGAGCUUCUAGUUGUUUUCGUAAUUACGUCGUCACAACGACUGAUGCGGAGUAUGUAGAAAAUAAAGUCAUUCAAAGCCGUACAAAAGUGGAUAACCAAUCCAAUCCACUUUUGGCUCGUCAUUGAGUAAUUUGAGUCAAUUAUCCAGUUUGGUCAAUAUUAUAUUUUAAAAGAUUAUUCAGAACAUCUCUUUACUUACUUUCUUAGUUGCUGGACAUAAAUUUUUAAAGCUAAAACAGAAUUUUUAUAUGAUAAAAUUUAAAAUUAAAAAUAAUUUAAUAUAUAGCGGAUGGAAAAUAGAAAAUAAUUAGGUAGAUUUUAACCAAAAAAGAAUAUAGAAUUUAUAUUUUUUUUAGAGUGAAUUUCUAAAAAUAUAUUGACUCCUCCAUGGGUACAUAAACUACAGGGACAAAGAGGCAUUCCCUUUUUUUGUUUUAUGCAAGUCGUCGCAAGGAUUAUUCGUUGUGCGUGUACGUACAAUGACAUGAUCACGUGUCAUCCAUUGAGACUUUUCCAAGACAACAUUUUGUGAUGUACCAUAUGCGUACUAAAUUACAAGUGCAUUUGUUGGGUACAUGCAUGCAUGGACGUGGAAUUCCAUGCAUAAAAUGAUAAAAUACUUUUUCAAUUUUUCUUAGUUUAAUUUGCAAAGAUGUUUCACCAUUAAUUUGAAGUCUUUAGGUUUGGAAAUCUUUAUUCAUCGUAUAUUUGUUUGUCUCUUGGCACAAGCGCAUGCACACACGCACGCACGCACAUGUAUGUGUGUGUAUAUAUAUAUCUUAAUAUGUAUACUUAAGAUAUAUCUAUCAUUGUAAGUUAAACUAAUAAUCACUAAAUAUCCACUUUGUAUUUUGCUCUAGAGCACAAUAAAGUCAAAUUAGUAUUUAUAAUCGAUUUUUUUUUUCUAACAAGUAAAUUGAUAUUGCAUUCCAUUAAACUGCUCACAACAACAAUACAAGUCAUGGUGGCAGUGACGAGAGUAAUUUACAAACUGUCUAUAAAGAACAUAAUUUGUUAAACCAUUAAAUAUUCAAGAGAUACCUUUAAUAACAAGUACUUUCAUGAGCACAUAAAACUUAAAUUUUACAAGAGUUAUUCUCAAAUUUAAGUCCUCUUUUGAUUUGAUCUCUUCUGAACGUUUAAAGAUCUUAUAUAACUUGCCUUUUAAUAUUAAUGUAUGAUUAAAAUUUAACUAUUUUUAUUACUUACUUGAUUAACCAAUAAACAUAUAAGUGAAAUUUGCUUAAAAAUCAGGUCAUUAAAGGAUCCAUCUCAUUAAUGCUUCCCAGUCACUCUCUAUCAUCGAAGUUAUUUGUGCUAACCACCAAUUCACUAGCAAAUAUUGAUUCAUGUUUAAGCUCAUGUGUCACAUACUCAUGAAUACUUAGUGAUCAUUUAUAAAUGUUUAAUUAAUUAAUUGAGUAAAAGAUCAACAUUAAAAAAAAAAUCCCGUUACGCUACUCUGUAUAUACAACGCGUGAUAAAUUAAUUAAUACGGAGUUACCGGUAGCAAUUUAUAAAAAUUAAUUAAUAGGGAGUUAGUGAGUUACACGGCUGCUAUUAAUACUUUCAUUAAAGUGUGAAUGAUUUAUUAACAAGAAUUUCAAUAUAGAAAUUUCACCAAAACUGUUUAAGCUUGAUUUUUUAAUUCUGCAUAGCAAUGAGUCCAUGACGGCUCCAGCACUAAUCUCAUCAUGAAACAAAGGUAAAAUUAACGAAGUUUCUUUUUUCUUAGAAAAUCAUUGACAUCAAUAAGGUAAAACUAGUACAAGAUAAACCGAGACUAAUUUUAUUUUAUUUUUAAACAUUCUAUUAAAUUUUUCUGUCUAAAUAUCAUUGUUCUCUAUUUCAGAGUCAAGUCAAAAUUGUACAAAAUGAAAAAGAGAGGGUUAAAAUGGAUGGAAAUGACAAUAAAGAAAAUAGCUAGCUUUUUGCAAGAGCUUUUGAAGACGAUAGGCUUGUGCUCUUAUCAUGAAGCUUUUACGUCUUAUGCUUGUAGAAUUGACCCAGCGAAAAGGUUUAAUGAAUCCCCGUGAGAGUCUUUAAUGUGUUUCCGGGAAGAUAAUCAAUUAAUUAACUGCACCAAUUAAGCAGUUGAAUGAUCUACUAAGCAAGUUCAUAAAAUCUUAAUGUAAUCUAAUUGUUCGGAGAAAGUAUUUAAGAUCGAAUGAAAGAUGAAUUUCAGGGACUCUUCCAAUUGCAACCAGUCAUCAUGGAUAUUCCAAUCAGUGAAGGAUUCUUUCGACACAAGGAAAAAUAAAAGAUAAAAAAGGGUCAAUAAAGACGAUGGAGAAUAUUCAAAUAAAGUCUUUAACGUAUGUAAAUGUAAUGUAACUUUAAUUUGACAACUGCGGGCCUGACGAAUCCCUUGCAACGUGAGCACAAUGACACAGAAAGGAUAGUGCAAAUCAAAGUGGUCGUCUUUAUGAAUUACGAGAGAGAGCGUAACACAAGUUAUCCAAAUUCAGUCAGUCAAGAUAGGUCAAAUUAGCUUGCCAUUGUCGUUUUCGGGGAAAAAAUGUUAGAAUAAAAUGUUAAAAGAAAAUUUAGAAUGUCUACUAACUACUAAUAUGAGAAAGAGUAAUAAAGACUUUAGAAUUAAAAAAAGAAAAUAGUAGCAGACAAUUAAUAGUUGUAAAUGGCUAAAGUUGUUUCAUAUAACAUUUUAGACAGGCCCGACUUUAACCAAUUGGGGGCCUUAGGCGAAAUUUUAUUUUAGGCCUUUUGAUGUUAAAAUAUCAAAUCUCACAAAAACAUUAAACAGCUCAAAAAAUUCUCACAACAAUAUCAAAUAGCUCAAACUUUAACUAUAUUCAAUAAUAUCUUGAAUUACAACAAUUAUUAACAAGGUCCAAAAAAAAAAAAAUUGUCCGAAAGAUAUCUAUUUAUUUCCACACAAAUAGUAACUAACUUUGUCUUCCACAAAUUCCAUCUUCUUAAGAUGCUCUAAAACUUCAUAAGCCACAACCAUAAUCUUCCUGUGAACUUUAAAUCAUUGCUCCUACCUACUAUGAUCCUUGCUGCAAGCCAUCACUAAUGCAAAUUACUAAUCAAUUAAAUUUUAUUCUUCUUGCUUUUUGAGAUGCAAAAUUAUUAAUUAAAAUCUUAUAUUCUAAUUUAGCUAACAAAUUUUUUUUCAAUAGCUAAUAUUGCUAAUCCAUUUAAUCUUUCUUGUGACAUUGUAGUUCUUAAAUAAGAUUUUAUUAACUUCAAUUUAGAAAAACUUAUCUCAGCAGAAGCAACAGUUACAGGUACAGUCAAUAAUAUUCUAUAAGCAACAAAUGCAUUUGGAAAAGAAUCUACUUUUUUAAUAUAAUUAAGUAUAUCAAGUGGACUAUUUCUUUCCAUGUGUAAAACUUCUUUUAAGACUUUUAACUCUGAAAACAAAUCUAAUCCAUCAAUAUCAGAAAACAUAUCAUAUUUCAAGAUAUUUUCAAGAUUAAUACAAUAACUUUUUAAACUUUCAUCAUCUAAUGAUUUUAAUUUUUCAAAAUUAAAUAAAAAUCCGCAAAUAUUUUCAUAGAAUUGAAACUGCUCAAAUCUAUUGGUGAUUGAAGAAAUAACUUGAUCUACUAUAUAUACAAAGUAAUCAAUUCUAAAAGAAUCUUUGGGAGAUAGAAUUUUCUCUUCAUUAUUAUUCUCGCCAAAUUUAUUUUUUCUACGAAUUAUACGUUUUUCAUGAAAUUUUGGUUCUAUUUCCAUUUCAUUUGCAAUCUCUUUAGCUGAAAUCAUAGCAGACACAAAACCAUUUUAUCUGUAAUUCUCAAAAAAGGAUGUAAGACCUUUAGUUGAUUUAUGGCAACAUCAAUUUGCAUAUAUUCCCUUUGUAAGCUUUUACUAACAGUGUUUACAACAAAUAAAAGCAAAUAAUAUAUCAUACCAAAUAAUCAUGCCUAACAAAAAUUCAAAGUUUUCCAAUUCAUAUGUUGCUAAACAUUUCGCUUCACUUUUUUAUUUUAGGAUCUUCACUAACUUCUGCUAAUUUGAGUAAAGCAUCUCUAAUUUGGGGAGCUUGAAAUCUUAUUGCUUUGACACUUUCUAUGCGACUCUCCCAACGUGUUUGUGACAAUGAUUUAACAGUUAAAUUAGGUAUAUUAUCUUGUAAAAUUUUCCAUCUCUUAGGUGAAGAAGAAAAUAGCGAGUAAAUACGUUGAACAACUCCAAAAAAUGAAAUAGCCUUAGGACAAGAAUUAGCCAUAUCACAAAGCACUAAGUUAAAACUAUGAUAGCCACAUGGUGUGUAAAAUACUCUAGGAUUUAUUUCUAAUAAUCUUUUUUGUACACCUUGAUUUUUUCCUUUCAUAUUAGAUCCAUUAGCAUAUCCUUGUCCUCUUACAUCAUUAAUAUCAAGUUCAAGAGUUUUAAUUACAUCCACAAGUUCAUUAAAAAGACCUUUUCCAGUGGUAUUGUCAACUUGUAAAAAUCCUAAAAAAUAUUCUUCUACCUUUACUAGAUUUGUUGAAAUAUCCACACAUCUUAAUAUAAGAGACAUUUGUUCUUGGUGGCUUGCAUCUGGAGUACAAUCAAGUAUAACUGAAAAGUACUUUGCUUCCUUAACUUUGUUAACAAUUGAUUUUUUUUAUUUCAAGUGCUAGCAUUAAUAUGAGUUCAUUUUGUAUGUUAUGUCCAAGAUAAUGAUCAUGAAUUUCACCGGUUUUAAUACGUCAAAUAUGUUCUUGCAUUGUUGGAUCAAACUCUGCAAUCAUUUCAAUUAAACUUAACAAAUUCCCAUUUCUCUCUUCAUAGAUCUUCUCAUUUUUUCCACGAAAUGCUAAAUUAUUUUUAGCAAGAUUUUUUACAACAGCAAUAAUUCGUAUUAAUACUUUUUGCCAAUGUUCUUUUUCCUUGUCAAUUCUUUCUUGAACAUCUUUAUCAAUUGUUUUUCUUUUUGAUAGUCUUGCUUCUAAAUCAACCCAUGCAUUCAUAUUAGUUAUAUGUUCAUUGGUUGUUUCAUGACUUUUAAGUUUAGAACUAAGAUUUUCCAAUCUCUUAUUCCUUCAUCACUAAGUUGAUUUUUGCUACAACUUGUAUUGAAUAAUUUGCAACAAAAACAAUAUACUUUGUUAAAAUCUUUUGAAUAUAUUAACCAUUUUCUAUCAUGUUUUUCUCCAUUUGUUAACAUUUUAACAUAAAAUGCAGUAGAGAAAUGCCUAGAAUUUUCAUCUUUUGGGAAAGUUAUGUUAUUCUCUCUAAUUGGGCCUUUUUUCUACUAAAAGAUCUCUUAACUUUGUAUCAACAUUUUCCCAUCUUCCUGGAUCAUAAAUAUUAUUUGGAACAAAUAAAUUUUCUACAUCAACUUUGUCCGCAUUUUUAUUUUUAUCAUCUUCAAUGUUGUUUAUUUCAUUCACUGUUUCAUCAUUAUUUAAUUCAUUUAAACUUGGUUGUUCAAUAGCUAAUUCUUCAUUUAAAUCUAUAUCUUUUUUAUUAGUUGUGACAAAUUUAUCAAGAGCUCCUUUUUUAGAUUGGACUAACUUUUCUAUUCUCCUCUUUUUUUUUUCAAUUUUUCAUAUCCCGAUACAUAUUUUCUAGUUGACAUGCUUUUCAAAUAAAAAAAAACAAAUAAACAAACACAAUUUUUUUCUAGAUUAUUCAAGCCAAAAUCAAUACAAAAAAUCAAAAAUAAAUUAAAUUUAAAAAGGAUAAGAACAGUAAUAAUAAAAAAUAGAAAAAAAUAGAAUGAUAGCACCUGGAUUUGAGUCAAUUGACUAGUUGAGAUGAAGAUGAUGAUGGCAAUGAAUUUUGUAGAGAAAGAGAAGAGAGCACAAAUUUUUUUUGCUGAAAAUAGCUUUGAUUCAAUGUGUAUCGGUUUAUAGAUAAUGAGGUUUUAAAUAUAUUUUAAUAGAAUACCAAAAGUUAGUUCUAAAAAUCUAACGUUACUAAUUUUAAUAAGAGUUUUUUUUGGAAAGGGUAAGCAUUGAUUGUUUUUUGGGAAAUAGUUAAAGAAAGUAAAGAAGUAACGUUCAAAAUCAUUAUUAUAGCAUAAAAAUAUAUCUUAUAUUUAAGGUAAAGAUUAUUAAAUAAGAGAGAUAAUUAUGAAUGAGAGUAAUGAUAGGGUAAAGCCUAAAAAUUAGGCUUUUUUUACUGUAUAAAAAAUAUAUACGUAACUUAAUUUUUUUGAAUCUUAAAAAAAUUAAUUAUAUUAAUUAAUAAAUAGAUACAAAAAAUCAGGGCCUUCCUAAAUACGGGGCCUUAGGCAACUGCCUAGUUCGCCUAGCAUUAAAGCCGCCACUGAUUUUAGAAUAAACUUUAAUUUGCCCCUCAUUUAAAAUGAUAAGUCUUUGAUUUACUUCCAGGAGGAUAAGGCUCAAACUCACGACUUCCGCCCUAAGAAGGUAAUGCUCUUAUCAUUCAGUGCUAAGUCUUUGCCUCUAUAAACAACCAUACAAAGAACAUGCAUCUCUUUUUUAUUCCCCCCCCCCCCCCCCCCACAAAAAAAAAAAAGAAAAAGAAAUCCAUCACUGCAUCCACAAUUUGCUCUCACCUUAUUGAAUGAAAAUGAAGGCUAAAUUGAUAUUUUCACUCUUUUAGGUGAUAAAAUCAAGAUUGUUGUUCUAUCGGGAGAAUGAAUUAAAAUUUAUCAACUUUUUAAGUUAGAUUUCUCCGGUAUGUCUCGAAAUGAUUGAGGCUAUAAUAAGUAUAGGUUUUAAUAGAAAAAAAUAUCGGUGGAUUGGCUGUCAAAUAUUCCCUUCACAAAGACAAAAUAUAGCUUUUAUUCUAAUUCUUCAUAGGCUUUAUUUGAUUAUUUCCAAUAACAAUCCAUUAUAACAGUGAAUAGCUUUUUACCAGCCGUAGUUAAGAUAUUGGAUUAGAAGCAUAGUUUGAGAAGCCAAACAAAACUGAUUCCUUGGAAGAAAUGUAUUGAAAACCUUGAAUCACUCAAUAUGUGUAACAAAUUUACAAGUUAUCUUCAAAAUUCCCAAAGCAAACUUCGCCAAAAUUUAAUUUCCCUCCCACGAAAUUUUUUUUUUUUUUUUGCUUUGAGCAGCUAACUUUCACAGUAGGCUUUACAACUCAAAAAAAGCCAUAUCCUAGUUAAAGACAAAUCCAGGUCUUAUAAAGUAGCUUAGGAACACCGCGAUGGGAAAUUCUUGUGCAUGAACAUGCAACUCAAUCAAGCACAGAUAAUGACAUAAUGGAACCGAAUUAAGUGUCGAACAAAAUACAGAAUGAAAAGAGUUAUAUCAUUGGUAAAAAGUUGUAUUGCUAACUGCUUGACACUAUCAGUCAAUUAAUUUUAUGGACUGACCAUCAGUGACAAAAUGCAACAAAUAUUUCGAUAAAGUCAUAAGUUUCCCAAUAGAGCUAAUUGGUUUGAAAGGUUUAAAAUAUACUUUCAAGGCAAAAAAGUUGUCUACAAUUAAACUUUUAUUAAGACUCAUAAUACAGAAAGAAAUUUGCUAAAGAAACAAAUAGUAAAGAGGAUGAAUAGUAAAAAUGCCAUCGGUAAGACAUAGAUGGACCGGAAAAGGAGUAUCUUGAUGAUACUGGUGCAGCUAUCAAUUUUGGCUUGCGCCCUUCGCACGGGUGUUACCUGUUGUGGUUUGAUAAAGCACUUGUGGCAUACAAUGAGUAUAACCAAUCAGCUUGAUCAAUUUCUCUCCCCUUCUUAAGGGAUCAAAUUUACAAUGCUUUCAUAAUGAAUACAGCAGAUGGUGGCUAAUUGCCAAACACUUGACAAUGAUAGGCAAAUUCUUCUGUCAGAAAGCGGGGUGAAAAAGGUCAGAAUCUUGAGACCUGCUCAACCACAAGAUUGCAACAAAAGGGAAUCUGAUAAUAUACAAUGGGAAAUCAGAUUAUUAGCUUUCUCAUGAACAUUUCAAUAAUCUGAGCCACCAGUUUAUGACAAGGAAGCUUCUAAUGGUUACAACAUUCUAAAUCAUAAAAAAUGGUUCGAGGUCUCUAGCCAGAAGCACGUUGUUUAAAAUGUCAUUUGACACACAGCAAUACAAUCCACCAUCCGAUCUUAUUAACUUCCGCUAAAAAUAAAGUGAGAUUUUAUUAAAGAAAGGAAAUUUAUAAAAGCUAACAUACCAUCACAAAAAACUUCUUAGUUCAAAUCUAAGUACAGAUGAAAUAAUCAGAAUAAGUUUAGGCUCGAAAGCAUUGGUGUCUCCUUUAAACAUCUAUUCAAACAAAUUCUGCAAUUCCUCCAAGGUCUCCUCACCAUUUUCCUGUCAAAUUUACAAUCCAAGCAUACAAAGAUAAAUACAAAGCAAUAACACUGCUGGAAGAUUAAGUCAGGUUUGAAUAAUUCAAUUAUUCAAUUCCUCCAAGAACAACUUUUGUGGGGCCCACAUAGAUGUCAAAAAGUAAGCAGUGGGCAUUGCUAGUGCUCAACCGCAAAGGAAAAAGAAAAAAAAAAGAAGAAAUAAGAAGAAGAAGAAGAAAAGAAAGUGGCGGGCCGCUCAGCGGAAAUAAUAAUAAUAAAAUACUAAUAAAUAAAAAAAAUAAUAGGCAUGAACAGAAGCCAAUUUUUGGCUAUAAAGGACGCUUCUCCUCAUUUCAACAUCCAGUUUGAGAGAAGCAUUUCCUACAUUUAGGGAGUUGAGAGUAUUAAGAAUUUAAUAAACUCUUGGCUUGAGAGAUUAGUGAGUAAGCGAUUGGGUACAUUGGGGUUCUGGAUAGUGAGCCAAAAUAUUACAAUACUUGUAAUUCUCAUAUCACUAGUAAAAUAUUUUUCUUCUGUUUUCACCCGUGAAUCUAGGUUAAAAGCCGAACCACUUAAAUCCUGGUGUCCCUGUGUGAUUCUGUUGUCUCAUUAUUUCUCAAUUUCACUUUAAUUGCGUGUCUGCUUCACCAAUCAAUUUCCCAACAAUAGAACUUAUAUGUAAUUCGCCAUUGAACAAGACCAAAACUAGGCACCAUGAAUCACUACUUUUCAGAGCAUGAACACACUGAGGAUAAAAAUAAAAACAGAUUAAAAUAUGUUGCCCUUGUGACUAAAUGACCCAUUUGCAAUCUGAUUAGGAGAAAUCAAAAUACCGUCAUUCUUUUGCCAACCAGCAAAGUAAAAGCCAUAACUAAAGCUUGGAAAAAGCUAAAUAAUGCCUAGGAAUUUCCAAACACAAUUCUCAAAUUAUUCUAUAGAAAACAUAAAUAUGCAUUGAAGAAUGCUUACAUUAGUUUGUGUUUGGCUCAUCAUCACAGCCAUUUCAUUCAAGAAAUCUCCCAUUCCCUCAAAACAAAACUAAAAAGUCUCAUGUAAUAAAAUCCUCCCCCGUUCCCCACCCCCCCCCCCUUCUUGUAGGAGUUAAUUUUCAUGUAUCUUCAAAGAAACAAAAGCGCAUUAAAAAGUUAAAGAUGAAAUGAAAACAAUAUAUAUAUAUAUAUAUAUAGAGAGAGAGAGAGAGAGAGACACACACACACACACACACACGCGCGCGCGCGCAAAAUUGGAGCUCAUAUUAUUUUUUUCAUCAUCACUAUCAUAGACUCCUACAUAGUACAAGAACCUCUUGUUGGCAUCAGAUAGAACUUGAAGAGAGAAGAAGGAAAACAACAUCUCGUGAAUCCGAUAAUUAUCCAUCAUUAUAAAAAAGAUUACAAUUUUAUUUCUUAUUGUAUACUACAAAUUACAUGCAUAAUAAAUAAAUAAAUAAAUAAAUAAAUAAAUAAGAAUUAAAAUUUUUGGAAUUUAGUAAGGUUAACAGCAGAAUAGGCAUGUUGAAUGGCGUAAAAUCUCUUCGUGGCUACUUUCACAAAUUUUGGAUCUCUUGAAGUUGAACAACGACUUGGAUAUAUAGAGCCACAACCACCUUGUAAAAAAAAAAUCAUACAUAUGUUGCAUGAGAAGAUUGGUUGUAUAAAACUGUUAUAGACCCACAUGAUUUAGAAAAAUAAUAGUUAUCCAUUUUUAGUUAAUGUCUUUAUGCCACGUUAGUUUGUUUACACAAGUUCUUAAUGUUUGUGGUUAUAUCAUUAUUGAUUUCGAAAAUAAUAUUUUAAUAUUUUUAUUGCAAAUGAUAGGAUAUUUUUUGACACAUUGGAUGCUUUUGGAUUUAAUGAUACCUUUGUUUAUUUCAUUUAUUGUUUCAUCUAACAUUGUUUGAUGAGUGAUGAUAGAGUUAAAAGCUCUUGUAUAAACUUAUUUUAUACCAAUUUGAAAUUUAAAUUUAUUGAUUGAAUGAAAUUACCAAAUAAUAAAAAUAAAUAAUGUGGGUCAAGAGCUAGGGGUAAGCAAACUCAAUCCAAUCCCGGUGAAUUCAAUCCAACCUGACAAAUCCAGUCCAACCCAAUCUAAUCCAAUCAAAUUUUGAUGGAUUAAGUGAAUUAUUAUAGGGUUAAUUAGGUAAUUUUUUAGAAUCUAAUUAAUAAUUGGGUUGGGUUGGGUUGGAUUGGGUUAAUUAUGAUAAACCUGUCUCACCCAACCCCAUCCAUGUAAAUAAUAGUAAUAGUAAUAAUAGUUAGGCAUCCAGUACUGCUUACCAAAUAGAAGCUAAUUCCUGCAAAUUACAUGAAAAUUGCACGAAAUAUCAUUAUCCUUAUUUUCUUGAUUUCACCUUCAUUGUGUAUUUUUCUCCAGCAAUUCCAAACUUACGAAGAGGAUUCGGGCCACGUUCUAUGCAUCAUAUGGAAUGCGGCCAUUUUUCUGUGUAAUUUGUGAGGCGUUAUAUUACAUGGAGCUUGACUUCUUUCUUUCUAUCAAGGGUCAGAUGGCAUUGGUGAGAGUUUCUUCUGUUUCUUUGUUGAUUGUUUUGCUUUUGGCUUUUUUAUUAAAGUUAUUUUGAAUCCGCUUUCAGAUUGUGUGUUUAAUGAUUUGAUUAAAUUAGUGUUUAGUUAAAUGUAUUUGGAUUUCUGGAGUAUUUCAGCAGUUAAUGAUGAAAUUCAGCAUUAAAUUAACUCAUAAUCAUUCUAAUUAUUGAAUUUUUUGUCAUGAAAAAUCAUUUAGUAUUAUUGCGGCAGUAAAAUUCAAUGAAGUAGCAUUCAAUAUAUAAAUAAAUACGGUUUAAUCAAAUCGUACAUGUAUCAUUCAGCUUACAACAAUCGAAGGAACUGAAGUUUUCGGAGUGCUCAGUUUAAUCAAAUCAUGAGAAAUAAAUACGGUUGCAAAGUUGGAUACUUAUUAGUUGCUAUAAAUUUAACUAAGUCGUUAAACGUGUACGUGAUUGCCACUAGUAUUGAAAUCAAAACAUUCAAUUGAUUUAUGGUCUCAAGUAAUAAAGGUUCCACAAAUUUCUUUACAGAGCUUUCUUUUAUUUUCUUUCAUUUUCUAGCUUGCCAAACAAUAUAGAACUAAGUUUCUUUCAAUUAUAAACACCUGGCAAAGACACCAGGUUAAUUUUUAUCUCUUAGCACUCUGUUUUGCACCGAGAUAUCCAAUAUAUACUAGUUUAUCAGAUAAUUUUGAUUAAUGUUGAGUGAUAGUGUAUUAGUCUCCUAGUUAAUUAAAUGUGAAAACAUUAUACUAUAUACUAGUUGAUUGAUUCUAGUUUUUUUUAAUCUUCUUGUUAUUUUCCACGACAUAGCUGAUUUAAAGACUUGGCCCAACUCAUCCCUCUAUGUUCAUUUAAUGUUGCUAGUUUUUCUGCCCCAAGGUUGACUUGGUGGUAGGUUAUUUUGAUUAACUUGUAUUUUUGGCUGAAUAUUGACAAAAGCAAUCAGCUCAUGUAACGUACUCUGUUUUCCACUAAAAAUAUAAUCAUUUAUUACCUCUAGUUUAUCAAAUGAUCAUGAUUAAUGCUGCUAGGAAAGCUUUAUUAGUCUUUCUUUUAAUAUAUCAUUACCAAUCUUGCCAACUUUUGCUUAUCUUUUAACGUGGUCUUUGUUUAUAUUUCAUGAUCCCCGAAAUACACGUCAACGCAACCAUUUCCUAUAGCAAAUGUUUUUAACUCUUUUUAAGUUAUUGGAUUGCUGCUUUCCAUGCAUAUAAAUUAUGGAAUAGCUUACUUAAUCUUUCAUUAUCAUCACCAAAUCUCGAAUUGUUUGCAUUAUCUUCUUUUUGAAAAUGCUUCACGAAAUCAAAUUACUAACAGAAGUCAUAAAUGUCCUGCUCCAGCAUUUUCUUAAUCAUCCAACUUUUCUCAGAUUCUCUGAAAAUCCCUUAUACAUUUUCUGGUUCCCUUUUCUUAAUCAUCCUUUUUCUAAACCUUUUUUGCAGAUUUUUCACUGUACUCCCUUUUUUAUUUCUAGCUUUUUCAUUCCUUGCCCUCCUUGUCUCUUAUUUCUUGUUGCGAUUGGUUUUGUUUUCCCCUGUUUUCUCAAAGCAAAAUAAAAAUAAAAUAAAAUAAAAUAAAACAGGAUAAUGGAAAUUGUUACCUCCUUGUCUCUUAUUACCUUCGAGAAGCUGAAGAAUGAUGUUGAUAAACUAAAGAAUGCUAGAGACAGUGUACAGUAUAAAGUAGAUGAUUCCAAAAUCAAAGGGGACGGAAUUCAACAGCACGUUGAGGAGUGGCUGAUUAGUGUGGACGAGGUCAUCAGUGAAGUUAGGAAGCUUACAGAAGUUGAAGAAAAAUCAAACAACCAGUGUUUUAAUGGGUUGUGUCCCAAUUUGAAGACCCACUACCAGCUUAUCAAGAAAGCAGAAAGGGAGGUGAAUGCUAUUGUUGGACUCCAUGAAAAAAGGAAAUUUGACAGUGUUUCUUUCCGUACAAUUCCAGAGGAGAUAUGGCUUAAGUCCACCGAAGGUUUCAUUCACUUUGAAUCAAGAAAAUCCACUUUGAAGGAAAUACUAGGCUCAUUAAGCAAUCAUAACUUCAACAUGAUUGGGGUAUACGGGAUGGGUGGCAUUGGAAAGACAAUGUUGGUGAAGGAAGUCGCUGGGCAAGCCAAGGGAAAUAAUCUCUUUGAGAAGGUCAUUUCUGCGCAAGUAUCCCAAACACCACAAAUAAAGAAGAUACAAGAAUAAAUUGCAGAGAAGAUAGGUUUGGGAUUAGUUGAAGAGAUUGAAACUGUUAGAGCAGGGAGGCUAUAUGAAAGAUUGAAAGUAGAGAAGAAGAUCCUUAUAAUCUUGGAUGAUAUUUGGGGGAGUCUUGACUUGGAGGCUGUUGGAAUUCCAUUAGCAGAUGAUAACAGCAGAUGUAAAGUUCUGCUGACAGCAAGAAGUCUAGAUGUGUUGUCUUGUAAGAUGGAUUGUCAACAUAAUUCUUUUAUCGAUAUUUUGAAUAAGAAAGAAGCUUGGAGUCUUUUUAAGAAGAUGGCAGGUGAUUGCAUAGAAAAUAGUGAACUAAAAUCUGUAGCGACAGAUAUAGUCAAGGAAUGUGCUGGUUUGCCCAUUGCCAUUGUACCCGUAGCAAAGGCGUUGAAAAAUAAGAGUCUCUAUGAAUGGAGGAAUGCUUUACGACAAUUACAAAGGCCUUUUUUGAUAAGCUUCUCUGGGACACAAGCGGUGGCCUAUUCAACUGUAGAGUUGAGUUACAAUCAUUUAGAAGGUAGGGAACUUAAAGAAACAUUAUUGCUAAUAGGGUACUCGUUCAUCUGUUGUGUUGAAGACUUGCUCUGUUAUGGCAUGGGUUUGGCUCUGUUUCAAAACAUCAACACGUUGGAAGAAGCACGAGAUAGAGCGCUUACAUUGGUUGAUAAGCUCAAAAACCCUUGCUUGUUGCUUGAUGGAGUUACAAGUGAAUGGUUUGCUAUGCAUGAUGUUGUUCGUGAUGUAGCCAUAUCAAUUGCAUCAAGAGACCAACAUGUAUUCGUAGUGGAUAAUGAUGUUGUCCCACAGAUCAAAUGGCCAGAUAAGGAUAAACUAAAGGUUUGCACUGCAAUCUCCUUAAAUAAUAGUAAUAUUAGUGAGCUUCCUCAAGAGUUGGAAUGUCCACACCGUGAAUACUUUUCUAUUGGCAGUGAUCCUUCGUUGAGAAUCCCAGAUAACAUUUUUACUGAGAUGACAGAGCUUAGAGUACUUGUUUUGUUAAUUACCAAAGUUUAGCCGUACUUUUGAUAAUCAUUUGAUAAUUAAAUGCGUGCUAGUGAGGAAAUACUCUUAAUUAAUUAAUGUGUUAGUGGAGAGUAUGUAGUGUUAUUAUUAUUUCCUAAACAAUAAUGUUUAUAGGAAAAGUAAAACUACAAAAAAAAAAAGGGGGGAAAAUAAUUGACCAUUAAGUGUCCAUUUUGUAUGAUUUCUCUACUAAUAGAUCAAGAGAGUAAUUUUGCUUUUGAAUAUUUUUUGGCAUCGUUUGGCUAUAAAUUGAAUAGAGUUUAUUAAAAAUAUUAUUUUGUCUUUAUUAGGAGAAGUUUAAAUUUUGGACUUCUAGGAGAAUAGGUUGUAGAGCUCCUUAAAAGAAUUAGAUUUUCUAAAAUACACCUAUUUAACUGCAUGCAUAAUCCUAUUUCAUUUGUUUUAUAACAUAUAGGUUUAAUAGGAUCCAGCUACUUUGCAACAGUUGCAAGGUGCCACCAUUUUUGUCUUAUGGAGUUAUGUUAUGCAUGUUAAAUUUUCUUUAACCCCUUACUAGCCUUCUUAUUUACCUUUUUUUUUUUUAUAAGUUUAUAUACUUUAGCUGGUGACCUUUGAAAAUGUAAUUUUAUUUUAUUUUUUUACAUUUAUUUAUAAGUUUAUAUGCUUUGGCUGGUGACAUUUUAAAAUGUAAUUUUAUUUUUUUAAUAUUAUUUAUUUUUUUAAAAGAAUAAAUAUAAUAAUAAGUUUAUGACUAAAUAAUAUUUAUUUUUUACGACUCAAUAUUUUUUUUUAUUUUAUUUAAUAUUAUUUAACUUUUAAAAAAAUAAAUAUAAUAAUAAGCCUAUGAAUAAAUAAUAUAAAAUUAAUAAAAUUAAUUUUUUAAAAUAAAGUUAAUAAUAUUAUAAAUAAUAUUUAUUGUUUAAGGUUCACUAUUGAUUUUUUUAUUUAAUAUUAUUUAGUUUUUUAAAAGAAUAAAUACAAUUAUAAGCCUAUGGAUAAAUAAUAUUAAAUAAAAUAAAGUUAAUAAUAUUAAAAAUAAUAUUAAUUUUUAAGACUCAUUACUAUUAUUUUAUUUUAUUUAACAUUAUUUAGUUUUAUGAAAGAAUAAAUAUAAUGAUAAGUUUAUGACUAUAAAACGUUAAAUAAAAUAAAAUAAAUAAUAUUAAUUAAAAAUUAUAUCUAUUUUUUAUGAUUCACUAUUGAUUAUUUUAUUUUAUUUAAUAUUAUUUAGUUUUUUGAAGAAUAAAUAUAAUAAUAAGCAUACGCUAAAUAAAAUUAAAUAAAAUGAAAAUAAAUAAUAUUAAAUAAUAUUUAUUUUGAAUAAAAUAAAUAACAUUAAAAUUUUAUUCUUUUAAAUAAAAAUAUAUAAUAUUAAAAUUAAAAUAUUUUUUAAGACUUACUACUAAUUAAAUAAUAUAAAUUGGAAACAAUAAAGACUUAUAUGCUAAAAAUUUUAACUCUUUCAUUUUUUUGUGUUUUUAAUACUUAUCAAGAAUAUAAUGUUAGUAUUCAAAUGGACAAAUCUCUACCAUUGAAAUUACCUUUUUCAUUAAAUCCAAAGGUAAAGGAAUAAAAUAAAAAAAAAAAUUAGUUGUACCUUGCAGCCGUUGCAAAGUAGAUGAGUCCAGGUUUAAUAAACUUGUUACUAAAGUAAUUUUAAUUUACAACUUUUUUUAAAAGCUUUUUUUUUAUAACUAAACAACUAAAGAUUUUCAUUAAAAACUUUAAGGAUCCUCUUCCUCUAAGUUACAGUUACAGCUGCGUUUGUCUUUUUCUGAAUUCUUGCUGUAAAAUAUUGUUCAGCCCCUUUUACUUAAUAGUAUUUACAAUUUAUCAAUAAGUAUAUAAAAAUUUCUAUAUUGUAACAUUUCGUUCAGCCCCUUGCACUCUAUUUUAUUUCAUUAAAAACCUUAGCGUAUCAAAUUUAUCCCCUAUAUUUUUUAAAUUCCCAAACUACCCUCCAUUUAAAUAAAAAUAAUUAUUAUUAAAUGGAUUAUAAUUAUAAUUACUAGUUUAUUGUAAUUACUAUUAAUAAGAAUAAUAAAAAGUAUUGUAAUUAAUUAAUCUAUUAACAAUAAUUAAUAAUAAUUUUUUAGUUAAAUUGUUAAUAAUAACAAUUGUUAUUUAAACAUUUUUGAAUUUUUUAGUUAAAUCAUUUAUAGAACUAAACACAAAUUUAAUCAAAUCAUUAAACAUGUACGUGAUUGCCACUGGUAUUAAAAUCAAAACAUUCAUGCAACGAUUAAUGAUCUUAAAUUUAAGGUUAAAAAUGACCUAAUCAAUUUAAGCAACUACGUCCAAAUGAUUUUGGUUUUGAUGUUUACAAAUAUGAAUUUUUCUUUUCGGCUCAAAUUUCACUAAUGAAUACACCAAAACCUCAAAAGUUUUUCUUUCACUUUGAUGAUUAUAUUGUGUUCACUGAAAAAAUAUUAGAGCACCUUCGUUGCACUACACCCACUUAGUGUACAUAUGACAUAUAUGUACUAGAGCGCAAUAGUUAUAUUUAAUUCACACAUACAUCAUUCAGCUUUUGGAAUUCGUCAUUGGGGUCCUCACGUGUAAGCAUCACGUGCACCACUAAUUCUGAGUUUCUGACCAAGUCAAAGUUCAGUUAACAUUCUUUGCAGCAGGAAGGUGGUUUGGUGACUGGUGAAUAGCUCACUCAACUUGUGAACCGUGAUUAGUCAAAUAAUCAAGUACACGUGGCAUCAUGAAACGCUUCGAAGAAUAACCUCGGAAGGUCUGUCCACUGUCCAGUAUGAUGACAUGUCAGCAACGUUUUACAACAGGAAGCAGCUAUGGUGUAAGCAUGGUAGUGGUAGCGUAGAAGCUGUGUAUGCAUAUCACCCGUCUGUUGAAAUGCUCGCAGUAAUCAAACCUCUUAUAACACUGCUUCAUCUGUCAAGUCAAAUUUUCCUCGGAGUCAAGAAAUGGAGAACUAACAGGUAUGCAUUUCUGAAACCAUUAUUAUAUUCAAACACAAGGAUUCGUAUAAAAGCUUAUAAAUGAUUAUGAAAGUAAGCAUGACGGAAUCAGCAUUUCUUGAUUUUCUUCAAUAAGCGGAAAUAGUGUUUCCCAAUAAAUUUAUAAAAGAUGCGUGAAAACAUUAUAUUAUAUACUAGUUGUAGUUGAUUGAUUUUUCUUUCAAUCUUCCUGUAAUAUUCCACGACAGAGCUGAUUUAAAGACUUAGCCCAACUCAUUCCACUAAGUUCAUUAAAUGUUAAUAAUUUUCUGCACCAAGGUUGACUUGAUGGUGCGUUAUUUUCAAUUUUUUUCAUUGACUUGUAUUUUUGGUUUAAUAUUCACAAAAAAUAAAGAAAGCAAUCAGCUCUUGUAACGUGCUCUGUUCUGUUUUCCACUAAAAAUAUAAUUAUUUGUUACCUCUAUUUUAUCAAAUAAUCAUGAUUAACGCUGCUGGGAAAGCUUUAUUAGUCUUUCUUUUCUUUUAUCGUGGUCGUUGUUUGUAUUUGAUGAUCCCAAAAUAAACGCUACGCAAUAUAGCAAUUGUCGAUUCCACAGUAAAGCAUAUAAAAUAAUAAGUAGGUUAUGUGAUCUUUCAUUGUCAUCACCUAGUAAGAUUGACGAUUGUAGUGCUACGUUAUUUGUCACCUUAGCCUGGAUAUAAAGCUUAAAAUCUUGUCAUAGGGUAAUAAUAUCAGUAAACUUUUGACAAAUCACUGAUCAAUUGAUCUUUUCAAGUCACUUAUUUCGUUUCCAUCGGAUUUGACGCCAUCAAACUACAAAAAUUUAUGUAAAAUUUUUGAAGUAAAAGAUUGUCUUACCCAUUAUACACGAUAGAAUCUUGGAUCAUGAAUGAAAUGAUGACAAUUUCAAUUUAAAGAUUUCAGCCUCAAGACCCAUAUAGGUUAUUGAGCGAACGACUUAUCAAAAUGAGAAAGCUACAAAAUAUGUGACAAUAUGAGGACAACAAAGAAAGCCAUCAGCUCUUGCAUUGCAUUCUGUUUUGCACUAAAAAUAUAAAUCAGUGAUCACCUCUAGUUUAUCAAAUAAUCAUGAUUAAUGCUGUAAGGAAAGCUUAAAUAGUCUUUAUUCCUUGUUUGUAUUUGAUGUUAGUCACCGCAACCAGUAUUAUUCUCGCAUUGUGUGCUUUAACUAUGAUCUUCUCUAAUUAAAAAUUGAGAUCCUCUCUUAAAUAGAGUUUACACUUGAAAAAUAUGUAUACAUUACCAUUCAUGUAUUGUCAAAAUUUGAGCUUAAGAUCCAACUAUUUACAAAUUAUUAAUUAUAUUUGUUGGUGAAAGCAAAUUAAUUAGAAGAAUGUGACAAUAAGAAGAUAAAAAAACUUGCUCAAAUUCUUCGCCGUGGGCUCGCUUACAAAUCCACUAGCUUAGCUUUUAAUCACACACAUAAAUCUUCAUCAUCACAUAUUAUACAAUAAUCAAAGCUAAUUAUUGAAACCUUUCUCUCAAAGUGAAAAGGAAAAAUUAUUGAAAUCUUCCGAGUUUGAAAAUGAAGGCAGCACUUGCAACUUCCAGGAACCUUCGUGGAAGUGUAGAGCUGAGUACAUCCAACUGUUCCAUUAAAUUUAAAUGCCGAAAUGAUUUCGAGGACCCACACGACCACGCAAGAGGUUUUUCUUUUUUCAUUUUAUUUGUAUAUCUAUUUCUUAAAAAAAUAAAAAAUCAUAAAGUCCCGAAACAUGGGCUUUAUAGCGGAGUUAUUAGAAAAGCGCAAGAAAAUUCAAUAAAAAUUCCAAAAAAAAAAAAUCAUAAAGUCCGGCAACGGCAGCAUAGCACUUACUGGUAACAAGAAAAUUCAAUGAAAUGCCAAAAUGCCACCUUGCGCUGUCCAAUUAACCUAUAACUUUGACACUAUUUACAUGCAACUAUAACCAUCUAUCUCAGUUAUUAAGAAUCUAUAGUUGACUUGGAAGCGUGAGUCUUCUCCAUGUAUGAAUUUAGUUUGGCUUUUUUGCAGUAUUCAGAUUACCCUUGAGACUUGAGAUGACAACUGUCUGCCUCUGCAUUUCCCUAAUCUCCAGAGUUCUCUGAAAUCUCUUCUUCAUUUUCGGUCUCCCUUUUCUGAAUCGUUCAUGUCCUCGAUCCUACACCUUCUUUGCAAAUCUUUCAUUUUCUGCCUUUACAAAGGAUCCCCUUUGUUUCAUCUCUAGAUUUUUCACUCUUUGCCUCUCCUCCUCCCUUAAAUCUAUUCAACCUCUUAUUUUAGCAAUUUAUCCAAACUUCUUAUUUCCCUCAUCCCAG